GCUGCGGUAGCUCAGUGGUAGAGCGGAGGAUUGCAGCAAUAGCUCAUCAUCCUCAGGUCCUGUGUUCGAACCACAGUUGCAGCU
This 84-nucleotide transfer RNA is filed under the name Blumeria hordei DH14. RNAcentral describes it as "tRNA-Cys for anticodon GCA". It matches the Rfam family "tRNA". Rfam says of the family: Transfer RNA (tRNA) molecules are approximately 80 nucleotides in length. Their secondary structure includes four short double-helical elements and three loops (D, anti-codon, and T loops). The record is from Rfam by way of RNAcentral. Lineage: Eukaryota; Fungi; Ascomycota; Leotiomycetes; Helotiales; Erysiphaceae.